Molecule: non-coding RNA, 168 nt
Organism: Meleagris gallopavo (turkey)
Lineage: Eukaryota; Metazoa; Chordata; Aves; Galliformes; Phasianidae
Source: RefSeq, a predicted model, not a curated record
CCCCGGAGCCAGAGGUCAAGCUGGUGUGAUGGGUUUCCCCGGUCCCAAAGGUGCUGCGGGUGAACCUGGCAAACCCGGUGAGAGAGGAGCUCCUGGCCCCCCUGGUGCUGUUGGUGCUGCUGGUAAGGAUGGUGAAGCCGGUGCCCAGGGUCCCCCCGGCCCCACUGU